RNAcentral lists this ribosomal RNA (503 nucleotides) under uncultured bacterium. RNAcentral's name for it is "bacterial SSU rRNA". It matches the Rfam family "Bacterial small subunit ribosomal RNA", at positions 28 to 535 of the family's 1533-position model. The record is from RNAcentral.
GAUGAACGCUGGCGGCGUGCCUCAAACAUGCAAGUCGAGCGGGGCUAUGUAAUAUCGCAAGGUAGAACAUAGCCUAGCGGCGAACGGGUGAGUAACACGUGGGUAACCUGCCUGGAAGACAGGGAUAACGAUUCGAAAGGGUCGCUAAUACCUGAUAAUAUCCUUUCAUCGCAUGGUGAUAGGAAGAAAGGGGAAACCCGCUUUCAGAUGGGCCCGCGUCCCAUCAGCUAGUUGGUAAGGUAAAGGCUUACCAAGGCGACGACGGGUAGCCGGUCUGAGAGGAUGUACGGCCACACUGGGACUGAGAUACGGCCCAGACUCCUACGGGAGGCAGCAGUUGGGAAUCUUAGGCAAUGGACGAAAGUCUGACCUAGCGACGCCGCGUGAGGGAAGAAGGCCUUCGGGUUGUAAACCUCUGUCAGUGGGGAAGAAGUAAGUGACGGUACCCCAAGAGGAAGCCCCUGCUAACUACGUGCCAGCAGCCGCGGUAAAACGUACUCUAU